RNAcentral lists this small RNA (45 nucleotides) under Seminavis robusta. Lineage: Eukaryota; Bacillariophyta; Bacillariophyceae; Naviculales; Naviculaceae. The record is from RNAcentral.
CCACCGGAUCCUGUCGGAUCCACCAAUGCCACUAAACCGGCAACU